AAUUCUGGACUCUGGGUCUCGUAUUCCCCUCUCCUUCCUUCACCUUGAGCUCUCGUCCAUCCCACUCCCACCUCAACUCCGUCGAUUCUCCCUCGUCGGCGGCAAGCGGUCCGGCGGAAAGACGAAUCGAGCGCCCGGUGGUGGUCCGCGUUCGUUGUUCGUAGCGGCCGGUGGUGCUGCAUCGACGAGGCGCGUCAGGGGCCAUCUUCUAGUGCGCCGAGUGUCGAUGCGUCCGAUUCGACCGGGCUGAGAGGAGAUACCGUCGAAGAUCAUUGUCGGGGAGGUUCUACAUCAACACCUACCGUCCUCUGUUUCUCAAUUUUGUGAGGAGUGCUCAUUUUCAAACAGUUCUGUCAAACAUAUUUUUAUCAUGAAACCCUCACGCAUACCUAAAAGUGCCAAGGCUGGACCGAUGUUCAUCUUUGCAUGGUUUAUGUCAGAUACAUCUUUUCAAUCGAUCAUCUCCCAUGAAGCUUUUUAGGUGGUGCAAGGGCAUGAGUCCAUCUGGAGUGUUUAGAUCAAUACCUGCGUCAGGAAAUUGGAAAUCCAUAUCUGUGAACACAUAGAAACAGUUGCAGAAAGUUUGUUUCACUGUGUACUUGUCUUCAUGUCUGCAAUUUUUUACUUCCUGUCAUGUUUUUUUUCUUUUUAUUUUGUACAACCAAUAAACAGCUACUAAUUUUAUUGCAUGAUUUUAUUUCUUGCAGAUCAUGAAGACUAAUUUCAGAACAUGAAGGACUCAUGGCAACCUAAGAUUCAAGCUUCCUGGAAGAGAAACUGUACACGAUGUCCUUGCUCUCAGGUUUCCAUUGGUGCGCCUCUAGUACAUUUUCACCUAGGUUGAGGUGCGGUCAGUACUUUGGUUCUUGCAAGCUACUAAAACCUUAUGCUUUUGGAUGUUGGAUUCUACUGCAAGAAGAUACAUCCACAAUGCAGAUCAAGUCAUGCACAACUAAUUUCCUUUCUUAUUACUGUUGGAGGCCACUUUUAUACAUGCAUGGCAGAAAGUUGGGGGGUAGAAGAUCAUGAUGCACCAGCAGCCCCGAAUCUAGAUUUGGGAUGUUCAUGUAAUGUACACUGGAGGCCCAGGAAUUUGGCUGUAACUUUAUGUCUGCAGUAGCUUCUUUGGUGGUUGUAGAUCUUGACCGGCCCCCCUAUUUGUUCUCUAUUUGUUUUUUAUUUGCCCGUAACUUUUCUACGAGACUGCUUAAGCCAUGGAGGUUUCCUCUCCUUUUCGUUGUGUC
Lolium perenne is the source of this 1244-nucleotide long non-coding RNA. RefSeq lists it as uncharacterized. The record is from RefSeq and is a predicted model, not a curated record. NCBI's taxonomy places the organism in Eukaryota, Viridiplantae, Streptophyta, Magnoliopsida, Poales, Poaceae.